RNAcentral lists this ribosomal RNA (483 nucleotides) under uncultured bacterium. RNAcentral describes it as "partial 16S ribosomal RNA". It matches the Rfam family "Bacterial small subunit ribosomal RNA", at positions 29 to 507 of the family's 1533-position model. The record is from RNAcentral.
UUGCACGCUGGCGGCAUGCUUUACCCAUGCCAGUCGAACGGCAGCGCGGGCUUCGGCCUGGCGGCGAGUGGCGAACGGGUGAGUAAUGCAUCGGAACGUGCCCAGUAGUGGGGGAUAGCCCGGCGAAAGCCGGAUUAAUACCGCAUACGACCUGAGGGUGAAAGCGGGGGACCGAAAGGCCUCGCGCUAUUGGAGCGGCCGAUGUCGGAUUAGCUAGUUGGUGGGGUAAAGGCUUACCAAGGCGACGAUCCGUAGCUGGUCUGAGAGGACGACCAGCCACACUGGGACUGAGACACGGCCCAGACUCCUACGGGAGGCAGCAGUGGGGAAUUUUGGACAAUGGGGGCAACCCUGAUCCAGCCAUGCCGCGUGCGGGAAGAAGGCCUUCGGGUUGUAAACCGCUUUUGUUCGGGAAGAAAUCCUCUGGGCUAAUACCCCGGGGGGAUGACGGUACCGGAAGAAUAAGCACCGGCUAACUACGUG